This 266-nucleotide ribosomal RNA is filed under the name uncultured bacterium. RNAcentral describes it as "partial 16S ribosomal RNA". It matches the Rfam family "Bacterial small subunit ribosomal RNA", at positions 793 to 1055 of the family's 1533-position model. The record is from RNAcentral.
GUCCUAGCCGUAAACGAUGGACACUAAGUAGGGGCCUUUCGGGGUCUCUGCUGUAGCUAACGCGUUAAGUGUCCCGCCUGGGGAGUACGGUCGCAAGGCUAAAACUCAAAGGAAUUGACGGGGGCUCGCACAAGCGGUGGAGCAUGUGGUUCAAUUCGAUGCAACGCGAAGAACCUUACCAGGGCUUGAAGUGAUGGUAGUAGGGACCCGAAAGGGCGACGACACGUAAAGUCGGGAGCCACCAUCAGGUGUUGCAUGGCUGUCGU